UGGGGAAUAUUGGACAAUGGGCGCAAGCCUGAUCCAGCAAUGCCGCGUGUGUGAAGAAGGCCUUCGGGUUGUAAAGCACUUUUAUCAGGAGCGAAAUACUAUCGGUUAAUAACCGGUGGGGCUGACGGUACCUGAGGAAUAAGCACCGGCUAACUUCGUGCCAGCAGCCGCGGUAAUACGAAGGGUGCAAGCGUUAAUCGGAAUUACUGGGCGUAAAGGGUGCGUAGGCGGUUAGUUAAGUCUGUUGUGAAAUCCCCGGGCUCAACCUGGGAAUGGCAAUGGAUACUGGCUAGCUAGAGUGUGUCAGAGGAUGGUGGAAUUCCCGGUGUAGCGGUGAAAUGCGUAGAGAUCGGGAGGAACAUCAGUGGCGAAGGCGGCCAUCUGGGACUAAUACUGACACUGAGGUGCGAAAGCGUGGGGAGCAAACA
Molecule: ribosomal RNA, 428 nt
Filed under: uncultured bacterium
Lineage: Bacteria
Description: partial 16S ribosomal RNA
Rfam family: Bacterial small subunit ribosomal RNA
Source: RNAcentral